ACCUCCUAUCGCAUGGUGGGUGGUGGAAAGAUUUAUCGGUGCAGGAUGGGCCCGCGGCCUAUCAGCUUGUUGGUGGGGUAAUGGCCUACCAAGGCGACGACGGGUAGCCGACCUGAGAGGGUGACCGGCCACACUGGGACUGAGACACGGCCCAGACUCCUACGGGAGGCAGCAGUGGGGAAUAUUGCACAAUGGGCGAAAGCCUGAUGCAGCGACGCCGCGUGAGGGAUGACGGCCUUCGGGUUGUAAACCUCUUUCAGCAGGGACGAAGCGCAAGUGACGGUACCUGCAGAAGAAGCACCGGCUAACUACGUGCCAGCAGCCGCGGUAAUACGUAGGGUGCAAGCGUUGUCCGGAAUUACUGGGCGUAAAGAGUUCGUAGGCGGUUUGUCGCGUCGUUUGUGAAAACCAGCAGCUCAACUGCUGGCUUGCAGGCGAUACGGGCAGACUUGAGUACUGCAGGGGAGACUGGAAUUCCUGGUGUAGCGGUGAAAUGCGCAGAUAUCAGGAGGAACACCGGUGGCGAAGGCGGGUCUCUGGGCAGUAACU
RNAcentral lists this ribosomal RNA (549 nucleotides) under Rhodococcus sp. N-QB-2009. Its description in RNAcentral is "bacterial SSU rRNA". It matches the Rfam family "Bacterial small subunit ribosomal RNA", at positions 173 to 741 of the family's 1533-position model. Lineage: Bacteria; Bacillati; Actinomycetota; Actinomycetes; Mycobacteriales; Nocardiaceae. The record is from RNAcentral.